AGAGUUUGAUCCUGGCUCAGAAUGAACGCUGGCGGCGUGCUUAACACAUGCAAGUCGUGCGCGAAGGUGGCUUCGGCCACCGGAGAGCGGCGAACGGGUGAGUAACACGUGGGUAAUCUGCCUGGGAGUGGGGGAUAACCUGGGGAAACUCGGGCUAAUACCGCAUACGUCGCGGGGCUGCGGCUCCGCCAAGAAAGCUG
RNAcentral lists this ribosomal RNA (200 nucleotides) under uncultured bacterium. RNAcentral's name for it is "partial 16S ribosomal RNA". It matches the Rfam family "Bacterial small subunit ribosomal RNA", at positions 8 to 209 of the family's 1533-position model. The record is from RNAcentral.